ACGGAGGAUCCAAGCGUUAUCCGGAUUUAUUGGGUUUAAAGGGUGCGUAGGCGGACCCGUUAGUCAGUGGUGAAAGUUUGCAGCUCAACUGUAAAACUGCCAUUGAAACUGCGGGUCUUGAGUGUAAAUGAGGUAGGCGGAAUGUGUUGUGUAGCGGUGAAAUGCUUAGAUAUAACACAGAACACCAAUUGCGUAGGCAGCUUACUGGGAUACAACUGACGCUGAGGCACGAAAGCGUGGGGAUCAAACAG
Molecule: ribosomal RNA, 251 nt
Filed under: uncultured prokaryote
Description: partial 16S rRNA
Rfam family: Bacterial small subunit ribosomal RNA
Source: RNAcentral